GGUCGUUUCCUUCCUAACGAAGGCAGCUCCGCAUUGGGUCGCACGCGUCUUCCUCUCCCCCACACGUCUCCGGCCACAGCCGCCUCCUCCUCUCCCCGCUUGUCUUUCCCUCUAGCUCAAGAAGCUCCACGGGACACCACUCUUCCUCUUCUCCGUAUUGAUGCUGAGCAAGAAGAUGGGGCGGAUUUGGGCGACGGCUCCAGUGCCACCUCCCUGCAACGAGGGAUCUCACCGGCGUGGGGGCGGGAGUGGAUGCCAGUGAGGGUGGCGGAUCGGCGUUGCUCGCUCCCCACCGGCCUUCUUCGUCUCCCGACAACAUAUGGCUCCAACCCUUCCUCUGCUGUGUGGUGUCGUGGGAGCAAGAAACAAGAGCAGGCAUGGUUUUUAUCUACAUCCAGUGUUCACACUGCCAGAUCGACGGAUCUAACUCUGGUCGGCAAGGAGGGGCACCGCCGCGGCGGCGAGGAAGCGGCCGGGGGCAAGGCCGAGGGCGGCAAAGCCAACCUGAGUAAGGUGCUGCCGGCUACCUUAUAGAAAAUCACAGGUUAGAUUUAUAAUCGAUGCAAGUUUCUUUCAGUAAACCAUGCCCUCAGUGCUGUACCAUUUAGGCUGUACAUAAUAUUCUGGCAGUUGUGCUGCCAUUUUACUGUCACUUUCUCAGUUUCCAUGAUAUCAGCACGCUGGUAACCGUGGAGCAUCCUUGCACACUUUGGUCGUUUUUUCUUUCUAUACUUUCAGUUUUCCAUGGAUAUAGUUGCGACAGAUUCUAGAUAUUGACAAUUUGACAUUCUAAUAUUCUGUUGGUCAGCGCUAAAAUGCAGAAGUAAUUCUAUUUAACCACAUAAUAUACUAGCAUUGGUUUGUAUGUGGCUGAUCCAGUGCCAGCAACAACUCGAGUUGUUAAAUUGUAAUGGAUUGUUCUAAUUUUACAGCUUUAUGUACAAACUGUGGUUCAUGAUUGUUUGUAGGAGGAACAGUUUCAUGCUAUGCUGUUCUCACCAUAGGGUUGUUUUCAUAUCUCUACAAUUAAUGAAUAUGUUUUAUUAAAAAAAUGUGAAGAAUUGUUAUUUCUAUAACAGGAAAACUUCACUACUGACCCUUUGGUUCUAGGCUUCUAGCAGCGUCAGGUGUUGAUUAUCAACACUUGUUAGAUGUUGUCUGAUUGGCACAAGGGGUCCCCUAUGGAAACACCAAAGUCUACCCAUACUAGUGAUGAUUUCACACACAAGGCAGAAUCAGAUGUAAUAUAGUACUUUUUAAUCGAGUAUUCCAUUUUGAGUUUUGAGAUUCCAUUAUGUUCGAAGUUUUACUCAUUUCUUUGCCUGCAGAUGACACAUGUUGCACUGGCUUUUGAAGUGCCAGGAAGCUGGCUUGAAUCAUGACUGUCAUGCAGGUACAUCUAAGGGUUGGGUAUUCGAUAGUAAUUAAUGAUAAGUUAGUAUACAAAAUAAAAGAAAAUAAAUUACUUACUGCAGAGCCAUUCAGUUAUAUAUGCCAACUCUGAAGGAUAAUUCCUAAAAAAAUUAGGCGUUCUUUGUUUCCUCACAAUUUUUUUCAGAAAUGUCGCAUGGUUAUUUGCUAUUGAACUUCCUCUCUGACUGUUGGAUUAUCAGCCCUUUUUUGAUGGAUAGGUGCUACUGACCAGCUACCAUGGAUGGAAGAAACCUCAUCAAAAACUAAUACAUAUGUUACUGAUUCCGAGCCUUCAAAGUUUUCUUUUGCAGUAGCAUUUAUUUUGCACGGUUCAUCUUCCAUGCAAAGAGAAGUCCUAGAACUUUUAGGUGCUGGUAUGGCAGUUGCAGCCGUUUGGGAAUUGCUCCUAGCUGUAAAUUUUCUAUUAUGAUUAACCUGAGAGCAAUCCUGACUAACAUCAGCAUCCUCAGUGUUACCAUAGUCCUUGCAAUGAACAGAGAGAUAUUCAUGGAUGGAGCUGGUAAGGCCACUCAUUUCCAUGGCAGCUAGGAACAAGAAACAGAAGUAUGAGAAAGUCAGUGAAAGGAAAAUUGUUGUUCUUUUCUAUAUCCUGCAUUCGCCACCAUUGGAACAAUGUGUUAUUAAUUGUAUUCUCUUAGCUAUAGGCUCUCUGUCGUGGAUAUCCUACUGAAUUUGCAUCUUAUUUCCAUUACUGCCGCUCACUACGCUUUGGACUACCAGUAUCUCAAGAAAUUGUCUACAGACUUUUUUAUUGGACAUGGCGAGUUUUCCUUUUGCAUGUCGUGAACUUAUAAUCGUCCAUUUAAUUUAGUGGUUAAUGAUUAAUCAAUAUUUAGACACCUAAAUGCUGCAAAUGUUGCACACAUGAAAAUUUAUGUCCUACUGUUUGCUCUUAUCCAUUUAUUUUAGGCCCUGGCAGCAGGACGAGGCUCUAGGAUGGUUCCCAUGGAAAACAGACAGUCAGAUUCACAGUGAAGAUGUGUUGCAUGCCCACAACUGAAUACUCACAGUGAAGAUGUGUCACUCAUUGAGAAGCCGAACGGUACCACCAAAAUAUAAAGUGAAGAGACCCACUUAUCCAGAACAAGGUAGAUCAUCAUGCUGUCAUACCAUACAUCAAAUGGUAUGCCGCAAAUACAAUCGCCAAUCUUAGAAAACUCAACGAACGGUAAGGAGAUUGGCUUGUAUGGACUCACCAUUCGCCCUCUCAGUACACAAUCACCAAUCUAAGUUGUUCGAAUAAGAACUACUUAGUUUCCAUGUUCUGUUAUAAUGGUCCCUGUUUUUUUAUUUCCAAAUCUGCAGAUUUUAAUUAUGAAUCUAAUUCAGAUUUGUUCCAUGUUUUUUUGCUUGCAGUAAAAAUCUUACUAGAGGCAACUGGAUAUAGGAAACAAAGUGAACUACCAGUUUUCUGUUGAACAAUCACUACUCUGGUUUUAUUGUGACGUGUACCUAAAUUUAUUCUUAGAGAAAACUUGACAUGCAGACUGCAUGUUCUUAUGUAUUGUUUCAGUAACAAUGAUUGCAUAGUAAUUCAGUUAUAACUAUGUAACAGAAGAUGGCAGGAACAAUGGUACAAAUUCAAGUAUGUACAUGCCAAAGUUGAUAGGUUUAACUCUAGGCAUUGCAUUACUAUGUCAUGUUGUACUAUUCUUUAAAGAAUUUGUAGGGGGUACUAGAAAAUAUGACUCGAUGAGGGAUGCAUUGAUUUAAAAAAACGGCCUGAAAGUAUUGAGUUUA
Molecule: long non-coding RNA, 3174 nt
Organism: Triticum aestivum (bread wheat)
Lineage: Eukaryota; Viridiplantae; Streptophyta; Magnoliopsida; Poales; Poaceae
Exons: 2
Source: RefSeq, a predicted model, not a curated record